This 46-nucleotide non-coding RNA is filed under the name Trichobilharzia regenti. The record is from RNAcentral. Lineage: Eukaryota; Metazoa; Platyhelminthes; Trematoda; Strigeidida; Schistosomatidae.
AUCCAGAUGAAGAGUCCCAAACUAGGACGAAACAGCUGUCUAAAAU